RNAcentral lists this ribosomal RNA (441 nucleotides) under uncultured bacterium. Its description in RNAcentral is "partial 16S ribosomal RNA". It matches the Rfam family "Bacterial small subunit ribosomal RNA", at positions 338 to 795 of the family's 1533-position model. The record is from RNAcentral.
CCUACGGGAGGCAGCAGUGGGGGAUAUUGCACAAUGGGGGGAACCCUGAUGCAGCGACGCAGCGUGGGUGAAGGAGCUUUUCGGCGCGUAAAGCCCUAUCGGCAGGGAAGAAGGCUGACGGUACCUGACUACGCAGCCCCGGCUAACUACGUGCCAGCAGCCGCGGUAAUACGUAGGGGGCGAGCGUUAUCCGGAUUUACUGGGUGUAAAGGGUGCGCAGACGGCAGCGCAAGCCAGGAGUGAAAGCCCGGGGCUCAACCCCGGGACUGCUAUUGGAACUGCGAGGCUGGAGUGCAGGAGGGGUAGGCGGAAUUCGUGGUGUAGCGGUGAAAUGCGUAGAUAUCAGGAGGAACACCGGUGGCGAAGGCGGCUUGCUGGACUGCGACUGACGUUGAGGCCCGAAAGCGUGGGGAGCAAACAGGAUUAGAUACCCGUGUAGUC